This 253-nucleotide ribosomal RNA is filed under the name uncultured bacterium. Its description in RNAcentral is "partial 16S ribosomal RNA". It matches the Rfam family "Bacterial small subunit ribosomal RNA", at positions 524 to 776 of the family's 1533-position model. The record is from RNAcentral.
UACGUAGGCAGCGAGCGUUGUUCGGAGUUACUGGGCGUAAAGCGUGCGUAGGCGGUGUCUUAAGUUUGUUGUGAAAUCUCCCGGCUUAACCGGGAGGGUGCGGCGAAUACUGAGAUGCUGGAGUGCCGGAGAGGUAAGCGGAAUUCCUGGUGUAGCGGUGAAAUGCGUAGAUAUCAGGAGGAACACCUGCGGUGUAGACGGCUUACUGGACGGUAACUGACGCUGAGGCACGAAAGCGUGGGGAGCGAACGGG